This 252-nucleotide ribosomal RNA is filed under the name uncultured bacterium. Its description in RNAcentral is "partial 16S ribosomal RNA". It matches the Rfam family "Bacterial small subunit ribosomal RNA", at positions 524 to 775 of the family's 1533-position model. The record is from RNAcentral.
UACGUAGGUGGCAAGCGUUGUCCGGAAUUAUUGGGCGUAAAGCGCGCGCAGGCGGUUCGAGAAGUCCAUGGUGAAAGCGCCUGGCUUAACUAGGCGAGUGCCGUGGGGACUGACGAGCUGGAGGGGAGCAGAGGCGAGUGGAAUUCCGGGUGUAGUGGUGAAAUGCGUAGAGAUCCGGAGGAACACCAGUGGCGAAGGCGGCUCGCUGGGCUUUACCUGACGCUGAGGCGCGAAAGCGUGGGGAGCGAACCG